This is a non-coding RNA of Nicotiana tabacum (common tobacco), 3018 nucleotides long. The record is from RefSeq and is a predicted model, not a curated record. NCBI's taxonomy places the organism in Eukaryota, Viridiplantae, Streptophyta, Magnoliopsida, Solanales, Solanaceae.
AUAGAAUUAUAUAUAUAUAUAUAUAUUAUAUAUUAUACACAAAAAAUAAACAAAUUAUAAAUAGUUUUGGUCGUAGGCUAAAAGUUAUCUUUGCGCAAUGAACCUUAAAAGAUAAUGGGCUUUUGUUUCUUAAACUUUUGGUCCAAUUAGAAUUGUCAAAAUGGGCUAGGGCUAUCUAGUCCUAGCGGGCUAGAAAAUCAUCUAAGAAGAAUUAAUUCAAAUAGCCGCCCAGUCAACUAUUUAAACUAAAAAUAGCCGAUAAAUGUAUAAUAUAUGUAUAAUUUAUAUAUUAUAUAUGUAUUUUUGUAUAUAAUCAAUGUAUAAUAUAUGCAUAUGGCUAGAAAAAAUAAACAAAGAAUAUGAACGGCUAUGUAAAAAUCCCAAAAUCUAACAGCCUAACCGAAUUCAGCAUUUCAUUUGAAUUGACUUCCAAAAUGCCAAAUGCAUACGACUGGAUAUCUGAAUCGUGCGCAAUAAGUUACAAAGCUUAUUCUAAUGAAUAGUUGUACACCGAUUAGUACAAUAAGUUAUUAUAAUGAAUUACUUACCAUUUAUUACAGGCUCCAAUAAACGUUAAUUAAAUAAAAAUUUCUUAUCAUUAUUUUUUAAGCGAGCUGAUUAUAUAAAUAUUUCUUACAUUAUCAGUACAUAAAAUUUAGAAUGAAAAACUUAAUGUUGCUAAUAUUAUAAAUUUAUAGACUCUAUGGUUUUGAGUACUUAUUCCCGCUCCUGCUCCAUCUCAUACAUAAAAAAGAAGAAGAAGAAGAAGAAAAGAGCGAUAAUGUAUUAAUAUUCCUAAUCCGUCCAAUCUUUGUUAAAAAAUUACUUGAUAUCUUUGUCGGUGGGAAAUAAAUAUCUAGUAGAUUAAUCAAAAUGCAUUCAACUAAGUAAAAUAUGAUUAGUAUAGCCAGUACAUAGGUUGCAAUACCUAAACCUAUAGCAGUAGGUUUGCAUUAUUUUCAGUUUACAUAAAAAGUUACAUACUAAUUAGAAUCUCCUACUCCAAAUACUGUCAUUGUUUUUUGGGAAGGAGAGAGUAGCAUUUUACUUUCUUCACGCUAUUCAUAACUUGUCAAACCUAUCAAAGAAUAAAGCGUUUUCUGAAUUGUAACAUUCAAUAGUAUUAAAGUUACUGUUCCUUAGGCAUAAUGAUGAAGAGAUAUAAAUUGGCUUCUCACUUGAGCUAAGCACUAUGCCAUUCGAUUUAAGUAAUUAUAUAUAUGUCCAUAUAGUGUAAUUUUUUAUUAUUAUUAUCAAUAAAUUUUAAUUUGUGCUAGUAGCUUCGGUUAUCCUCCUUAUAAGAUUAGUAAUGGAGCUAAAUUAGGAUAGAACAGUAUCUUUUAUUUUUGAUUUCAUUAAUGUAUAUUUCUGAUUCUUACAGCUUUGGUUUUUGAUACGAUUUAUUUAUUUUUACUGAUAUUGUGGAAUUCCUUCCCACACAAUUCACUAGCUUGUAUUUAAAGAGCACAUUAUCAACGAUACACAACAAGCUUUUUUCUAUGGUAUCUGGGCAAUAAACACUCAAACGAGUAUAGACUCCAAAAUCAUCUUCUCCAUCUUAUUCACAAAGUAUCCCUUUUUUUUUCCUCCCCUCUAAAUCACCAGAAAAUCAAUGGGUGACUCCUUUGCUUCAGGCACUAAUCCAAACAACAAUGAUCCAGAAGGCCGCAACAUGGAAUCCAAAACACAGAUUAUUAACAUCAACCCAACUGCACAGCUUCCUAUCAAACUUGUUGGUGGUGCAAACUUCGCAACAUGGAAAGCUCAAAUUCAAAAGGUCAUGAAUGGCUUUGACUUGAUGGGUUAUCUCGAUGGAUCUAUAACACCACCUCCACAUACCAUUAAGCAAGGAACUCAAGAUGUUGUCAAUCCAGAUUUCAAAAUUUGGUUUCAACAAGAUAAUCUCAUCGGCAAUGCCUUAAUGGCAUAUGUCGAUUUCACUAUUGCACCAUCUGUUGCCUCCGCUGAAACUUAGCAUGGGAUUAUCUGCAUACCACAUAUGUGAAUAAAUCUCAAACCCGGAUCUAUAGUCUUUGAGAUGCACUAGCCAAAGUCCAGCGAGAUCAAAAGUCUGUCAAUGAUUAUCUCAGAGAAAUAAGAACAAUCAUUGAUGAGUUAGCUGUUGUCGGUGCUCGCGUUUCUAAUGAAGAAUUGGUUGUGAAAAUAUUGAGCGGUCUCAGACCCGAAUAUGAAGCACUGAGUACUGUUAUUCAAUCAAGGGACUCGCCUAUAUCAUAUGAAGAAUUGGCACACAAGCUCACAGAUCAUGAACUUUAUCUCAAGCAAGCUGAAAAGAAGAAACCAGUAACUCCCAUGAUUGUUCAAGUUGCACAACGAAUAGUCAAUAAUAAUAACACUUGCAACAGACAAACUCGUCGUUGGUCUGGCUAGCCUCAAUGGCGUCCACAAAUUACUCCUAUUGGACAACAACAAUGGCAUUCCCAGAACACUCAAAGCAAUGGAAACCUUUCCCAGCCAUGGCGUCCCUCCACUUCGUUGCAUGACAAAGUGCCAAUUCAAUGUCAGUUAUGUCAAAAAUUUGGCCAUACUGCAAAUAUUUGCCAUUAAAAAUCACAUAACCAUUUUGAAGCUAAGGCUAUGUAUGCUUCUCGGAAUUCUCCCAACAAUGCUCCUUGGGUUCUGGAUAUUGGUGCCUCACAUCAUAUUACUGCUGAUCCUCAGAGCAUAGCCUCUCCACAUGAAUACACGAGUUCUGAAGAAGUUUCAAUGGGUGAUGGUAAUGGCACUGGCUACGGGGGCACUGCUAUUACAAGGCCAGAAUAGAGAUGAUUUGUACGAAUGGCCAAAGCUUACAACUUCAGCAUAUUCAUCCCCAACAGCCUACACGGCAAAUACCUCAAAAGUUCCUUUAUCUAUGCGGCAUCGUCGUUUAAGAUAUCCUAAUAUCCGUCUUCUGAAGUUUCUCUUAGACAAUCUUUAGUUGUCGUAUUUUGAUAAUUUUCAAUCUUGUAAUUCAUGCAAUUACAAUAAAAGCCAUAAGAAUUCUUUUUCGCAGAA